UCUUAACCCUGAUGUAAAGAGUGUAUAUGCUCACUCUUGCACCAAAAGAGGGAACAGAAAGUUUACACAUAGGCAGAACUAGUUCCCAAAUAAUAAAGCAACGAGGGUGAUGCAGCCAAUGGAGAUACACGAUUACAUCAAUGAACGACCAAGACGUUAUCAGAAAGGCACUAGGGAUGCAAAUCAAACAGAGAGAAGACUCUGUUGGCUGCUUUUCAUCAGCUUUGGCAUUCUGUGUAUCAUUCAAGCCACUCUUAAUGUUGCUCUACGUCUAACUUUGAUCUCAAGCAAGGAACAAACCGGCCCAGACUGCAACGCAACUCAUUUGUGUGAUGACGAAAAUCAGGUGACAAUUGUGCAGGAUUGUGAGCGGAGGAUGCCUUGUCACUGCAACAAGUUACAAGAAAGAUUCAACGCCUUGACCGGAGAAAGAGACCAUCUUAGAAAUGAGAAGAGUGAUCUCACCAACAGGAUAAGGAAGCUGGUGGAGGAGAGGGACAAACUGCUAAGGGGUCAGAACAAAUCAAGUCAUCUGUCCUUUGUACAGAUUCUCCUCAUUUCUUUCUCUCUCAUUUCUCUUUCAUUCUGA
This 589-nucleotide long non-coding RNA is filed under the name Sparus aurata (gilthead seabream). Its description in RNAcentral is "lncRNA (ENSSAUG00010000959.1)". Lineage: Eukaryota; Metazoa; Chordata; Actinopteri; Spariformes; Sparidae. The record is from RNAcentral.